AUUCACCACUAGGGGUGCCAUUAGAAUGGCUGAGAUCAAAGUGUGACUUUGAGACUCUUGGAACCUGAUUUGGUUUAUACCAACGUAGGGAAGUGGCACGGCAGAAAU
This 108-nucleotide non-coding RNA is filed under the name Rummeliibacillus stabekisii. RNAcentral describes it as "TPP sequence". It matches the Rfam family "TPP riboswitch aptamer (THI element)". Rfam says of the family: Vitamin B(1) in its active form thiamin pyrophosphate (TPP) is an essential coenzyme that is synthesised by coupling of pyrimidine and thiazole moieties in bacteria. The previously detected thiamin-regulatory element, thi box was extended, resulting in a new, highly conserved RNA secondary structure, the THI element, which is widely distributed in eubacteria and also occurs in some archaea. Lineage: Bacteria; Bacillati; Bacillota; Bacilli; Caryophanales; Caryophanaceae. The record is from Rfam by way of RNAcentral.